RNAcentral lists this ribosomal RNA (231 nucleotides) under uncultured bacterium. RNAcentral describes it as "partial 16S ribosomal RNA". It matches the Rfam family "Bacterial small subunit ribosomal RNA", at positions 88 to 334 of the family's 1533-position model. The record is from RNAcentral.
AACUCAAGUGGCGGACGGGUGAGUAACACGUAAGAAUUUGCCUUUAGGAGGGGGACAACAACUGGAAACGGUUGCUAAUACCCCAUAUGCUUUCGAGUGAAACGGAUUUAUCCGCCUAGAGAGAAGCUUGCGGCUGAUUAGCUUGUUGGUGAGGUAAUGGCUCACCAAGGCGACGAUCAGUAUCUGGUUUGAGAGGAUGAUCAGACACACUGGAACUGAGACACGGUCCAG